This is a long non-coding RNA of Sapajus apella (tufted capuchin), 1256 nucleotides long. RefSeq lists it as uncharacterized. Lineage: Eukaryota; Metazoa; Chordata; Mammalia; Primates; Cebidae. The record is from RefSeq and is a predicted model, not a curated record. The transcript is spliced from 3 exons.
CCUGCCAGAACCACCUGCAUGGUUGGGCCACUCCCGAAGGCCCUGCCCUCACAGGGACCUGUGUGUCCUGGAGAGCCUUUUUACCCUGCUGCCCGGGACUGGAGAACACCGGAGAGGCGUGCCAGAACCAUGGGCCAGGCUGCUGCGCUCCCCGGUCCCCUGCAGGCUCGGGCUGCACCUCGCCCCGCCCGGUUGUUUUCUCCAGCUGACUGCUGCCCGCUCCUGGGGCUGGGCUGUUCCCACGGGCAAGGAGCAAAAGGCCUGGGGGCAGUGCUCACCUGAUCUGCCCCACAGGCUCCGAAGGUUUUGGUCCCAGAGAUAAUAUCUGAAGGACAGAGAAGGAGACGGAAAGCAGAGAAAGAGACUGGAGCUCAACGGGAAAAGUAACAUAAAUCAAAAUGUCAUCAGUGAACUGGCAGAGCUGUAACACCCAGCCCAUUGGAGUCUUCACAGUACAGCUAUCUCAAAUAGGUGUCACAGAGGAAAAAAGACAAAAUAAAACCGCAUGAGGUGCAAUAAAAGAACACUUAUGAUAAAUGGAGGAAUACCCAAUACUACCCUCGGGAGUUCUGUCGCUACGUGAGGAAUUAAAUCACUGAAGACUUAGGCAAUUGGUGAAACUACAGCCCAGGAUGCAGUGGAUAGAAGUGUUCUGACUCCUGUUCCUGGUGGUUGGCAUGGUGAUGAUAUUUGCUAUCUUCCACACAGUGAGUUUCCUUUCUUAAAAUUUUUUUUACUAGUGAAUCUGCUUAACAGCUAUGAUGGAUUGAAGGCCUGUAAUCUGUACUCUUGUUUUCUGGUCCCAGCAUUAAGAUAGAAAAACAUAAGGCAUUUAUAAAAAGAGUCAAGAACAUGUAAAAAUAAGUCAGAAAGAAGCACAAUCAAAUAAACAUACAAGAACAAAUUCAAAUAGCAUGCAUUAAUUUUAAUUCAUGAAAUUUUCUGUGGAAAAAUGUCAAAUUGGUUUAUUUUCUCAAAUCAAAGUGUGAUAGGCAUUGUCUUAAAUUAAUUAAAAUUGUUUUUUGUUAUGAUUCAAGCAAAAGUUAAUGCAAAAGCAUAAAAUCAUAUAAUUACCGUUGUCAAUUGUCAACCCAAGAUUCCUGAAGAUAAGGAUUGUUUCUGUAAGCCAGUUAUAAUAAUAUACGCCAUUAUAGGAAUUUAGCAUCUAUUAGGUAAAAAAUUCCGUAGUCUAUUGUUAUUUUUGAAAGAUCAGGUUUUUAUCUCACUUUGAGAAAUGUGGACAUUUGCCUCUACAA